RNAcentral lists this small RNA (232 nucleotides) under Manihot esculenta (cassava). RNAcentral's name for it is "Early nodulin 40". It matches the Rfam family "Early nodulin 40". Lineage: Eukaryota; Viridiplantae; Streptophyta; Magnoliopsida; Malpighiales; Euphorbiaceae. The record is from Rfam by way of RNAcentral.
GUACUGAUCUUUUAUCAAGAAUCCAUCCUUGGGUCUUCAAAAGCUUGGGGGGCUUGGAGUGAGGGAUCCCUCACCCUCCUCCAAUAUUCCAACAGUCUGCCAGUGCUUAACCAUGACCAUGUCUUACAGAGCUAAAGGAGCCAUCUUUUCUGAAGCAAGCAGAGUUGUCCUGGGCAAUGCCUGGUAGACAAGGCAAGUCACAAAAAGGCAGCAGGCUCUAUUUAUGAGCCUU